Jatropha curcas is the source of this 580-nucleotide non-coding RNA. Lineage: Eukaryota; Viridiplantae; Streptophyta; Magnoliopsida; Malpighiales; Euphorbiaceae. The record is from RefSeq and is a predicted model, not a curated record.
UAAAUGUAUCUUCUGUAUCUACAACUUAACAUUUUCAUCUUUUGUUGUAGCUAAUACCUGAUGACAUGGAGUUCCAAUCUGGGGAUAUGCCAAACUACACAACUUCAGAUGGAUCAGUUAAGAUUCAAAAGGAUAGUGAAGUACGACUAAAGAUAAUUGGGACUCGAGUUGAUGCUACAGAAAUUUUCUGCAUCGGUACCAUAAAGGACGAUUUCCUGGGUGUGAUCAAUGAUCCAACAGGCGCUUAGUGGAGUUGCUCACAAGAAACUUCUAGUGCAUCAAACUUACCUUCUUGCAAUGUAUUACUGCUUACUGUAUGGUUCCAAGGGCAUUAACUUUGUCUUGGACCUUAAGAAUUACUGGUACCAUAUAUUGCUGAAUCACUGUAGUAGGUUUCUUUUUCAGGCAAUUGAAAUUAGAACCUUGGAAAUCAUUCUUUAUUUUCAAGCUUGAUGGUCGAGUCUACCGAGUCAAAACACGCUUGGGUUCAACUUGCAGAAUCUUUGAGUUCGAGUUUGAGCUCGAGCUUAUUCAAGUUUAUUUUGCACAUUAAUUUGAGAAUAGAUAAACUUGUCUGAAA